This 253-nucleotide ribosomal RNA is filed under the name uncultured bacterium. RNAcentral describes it as "partial 16S ribosomal RNA". It matches the Rfam family "Bacterial small subunit ribosomal RNA", at positions 524 to 776 of the family's 1533-position model. The record is from RNAcentral.
UACGUAGGGGGCAAGCGUUGUCCGGAAUCAUUGGGCGUAAAGAGCGCGUAGGCGGCCCUGUAAGUCCGCUGUGAAAGUCAAGGGCUCAACCCUUGAAUGCCGGUGGAUACUGCAGGGCUAGAGUCCGGAAGAGGCGAGUGGAAUUCCUGGUGUAGCGGUGAAAUGCGCAGAUAUCAGGAGGAACACCGGUGGCGAAGGCGGAUCUCUGGGCCUUACCUGACGCUCAGGCGCGAAAGCGUGGGGAGCGAACAGG